UACGUAGGGGGCAAGCGUUGUCCGGAAUCAUUGGGCGUAAAGAGCGUGUAGGCGGCCCGAUAAGUCCGCUGUGAAAGUCCAGGGCUCAACCCUGGGAUGCCGGUGGAUACUGUCGGGCUCGAGUCCGGAAGAGGAGUGUGGAAUUCCUGGUGUAGCGGUGGAAUGCGCAGAUAUCAGGAGGAACACCAAUAGCGAAGGCAGCUCGCUGGGACGGUACUGACGCUGAGGUGCGAAAGCGUGGGGAGCAAACAGG
This 253-nucleotide ribosomal RNA is filed under the name uncultured bacterium. RNAcentral describes it as "partial 16S ribosomal RNA". It matches the Rfam family "Bacterial small subunit ribosomal RNA", at positions 524 to 776 of the family's 1533-position model. The record is from RNAcentral.